GGCGUAAGCCGACGUAUACGGGCUGAGGCCUGCCCAGUGCCAGAAGGUUAACUGAGAGGAUAACCCCGACUUGUUCGGGCUAGUCUUUGAUUGAAGCCCUGGUGAACGGCAGCAGUAACUAU
RNAcentral lists this ribosomal RNA (122 nucleotides) under Candidatus Collierbacteria bacterium CG17_big_fil_post_rev_8_21_14_2_50_45_7. Its description in RNAcentral is "partial 23S ribosomal RNA". It matches the Rfam family "Bacterial large subunit ribosomal RNA", at positions 1830 to 1943 of the family's 2925-position model. Lineage: Bacteria; Candidatus Collieribacteriota. The record is from RNAcentral.